AGUUGUAGAAUCACUGGUGAAUAAGGGGUGGGCAAGUUCUGGUGUCAGCCGCCGCGGUAAAACCAGCACCUCGAGCGGUCAGGAGGUUUAUUGGGCCUAAAGCAUCCGUAGCCGGUUGCAUAAGUUUUCGGUUAAAUCUAUGCGCUUAACGUAUAGGCCGCCGAAAAUACUGUGCAGCUAGGGAGUGGGAGAGGUACACGGUACUCGAUAGGAAGGGGUAAAAUCCUUUGAUCUAUUGAUGACCACCUGUGGCGAAGGCGGUGUACCAGAACACGUUCGACGGUGAGGGAUGAAAGCUGGGGGAGCAAACCGGAUUAGAUACCCGGGUAGUCCCAGCUGUAAACGAUGCAGACUCGGUGAUGCAUUGGCUUGUGGCCAAUGCAGUGCCGCAGGGAAGCCGUUAAGUCUGCCGCCUGGGAAGUACGUACGCAAGUAUGAAACUUAAAGGAAUUGGCGGGGGAGCACCACAAGGGGUGAAGCCUGCGGUUCAAUUGGAGUCAACGCCAGAAAUCUUACCUGGGGAGACAGCAGAAUGAAGGUCAAGCUGAAGACUUUACCAGACACGCUGAGAGGUGGUGCAUGGCCGUCGCCAGCUCGUGCCGUGAGAUGUCCUGUUAAGUCAGGUAACGAGCGAGACCCCUGCGUCUAGUUGCUACCAUUACUCUCUGGAGCAGUGGAGCGAAUUAGACGGACCGCCACAGUUAAUGUGGAGGAAGGAAGGGGCCACGGCAGGUCAGUAUGCCCCGAAACCCUAGGGCUACACGCGGGCUGCAAUGGUAUUGACAAUGUGUUCCGAAUCCGAAAGGAGGAGGCAAUCAUCAGACAAUAUCUCAGUUAUGACUGAGGGA
Molecule: ribosomal RNA, 848 nt
Filed under: uncultured archaeon
Lineage: Archaea
Description: bacterial SSU rRNA
Rfam family: Archaeal small subunit ribosomal RNA
Source: RNAcentral